Long non-coding RNA from Oreochromis aureus, 570 nucleotides. RefSeq lists it as uncharacterized. The record is from RefSeq and is a predicted model, not a curated record. NCBI's taxonomy places the organism in Eukaryota, Metazoa, Chordata, Actinopteri, Cichliformes, Cichlidae. The transcript has 3 exons.
ACAACUUUUUACGGCGAAGUGAAGUCAGGAAAGUACCUCAUUUCAGGUUUGCAUCUAGCGUUAGAAAGGAUAUGGGGCCUAGCAGGGCAGCUUGGGUGAGAAUAACCGCAUCCCAUAAAUAAUGGAAGACGUGUCCUCCCAGCUGAGAGAGAGUCCAUCCAGAUGAUCUGCAAACAGUUCAGUAGCCAGCAUCUGAUCUGCAAACAGUUCAGUAGCCAGCAUCUGUGAUACUGAGGAAGUGAAUUUGUGCACAGGAUGCAGGGGGAGGAUGACACUAGACCACUUACUGGACAUAUUAUAACAGCGGGGCCCUACAGUAAAAGAAUCCAGGUGUUAAACCAAUCCGACUUUACUCCGAAACUGGAAAUGUGGAAAAUUACAGAACUAAAAUGACAAAGCAGAAGGCCCCGAAUGGCUAAAGAGCUGAAAUCUUAUAUCAAACAAGCCCCGAAAUACAUUUGGCUUACAAAACUGCAGUAAUUGGUCUCUCUGGUUUCACAACACCACAGUGGCAAACAUCCUCUUAUCCCACUUUUUUUUUAAGACAUAAGCAUAUAUGUUUCAAAUAAA